GUUCCCUACGGGGCGCAGCAGUAGGGAAUAUUGCUCAAUGGGGGAAACCCUGAAGCAGCAACGCCGCGUGGAGGAUGAAGGUUUUAGGAUUGUAAACUCCUUUUGUAAGAGAAGAUUAUGACGGUAUCUUACGAAUAAGCACCGGCUAACUCCGUGCCAGCAGCCGUGGUAAUACGGAGGGUGCAAGCGUUACUCGGAAUCAUUGGGCGUAAAGAGCGCGUAGGCGGGUGGUCAAGUCAGAUGGGAAAGCCUGUAG
Molecule: ribosomal RNA, 256 nt
Filed under: uncultured bacterium
Lineage: Bacteria
Description: partial 16S ribosomal RNA
Rfam family: Bacterial small subunit ribosomal RNA
Source: RNAcentral